AUGGAUGAACACAAGAAUUUUCUACGCUCCAAACACCCGGAGCGGUCUGAUGACUGGAUUACACGUGAACAAACCAGGAGUUUCACCAGCUGGUUGCAGACACGUACCAUGCAUGACGCCUCUAUUGAAGAUGACCUGUACUUGCUGUCCCAAUUACCAUCUUCGAAUAUAAUGACUUUCAAAGGGUACGAGAUAAAUGGUAAUACAUUUGACACGAUCGCCCAAGAUAAGAAGAGCACCAACCAAAACAGUGGUGUCCGCUUUGAUGCAGAAACCAAGACAGGAGAAACAUAUUAUGGUUAUAUACAAGACAUAUGGGAACUUGACUAUCGACGUGGUUUGAAGGUCCCUUUGUUUCGGUGCAAAUGGGUCAAUAUGACACGAGGCGGGGUAACGGAAGACCCGCAGUACGGAAUGACAACAGUGGAUCUCAACAAUCUUGCGUAUGCAGACGAACCAUUCGUCCUAGCCAAUGAUGUGGCACAUGUUUUCUAUGUGAAGGACAUGUCUACCAAGCUGAGAAAAAGAAAAGAUAAGGAAGCGAAUGCAUCGUACGAUGAGCCAAAGCGGCACAUAGUUCUUUCUGGGAAGAGAAACAUCGUGGGAGUGGAUGACAAGACAGACAUGUCAGGAGAUUAUGAAAAGUUUGAUGAAAUUACUCCAUUCACGGUGAAUAUUGACCCGAGCAUCCCGUUAAAUGAUGAAGAUUUUCCAUGGUUACGGCGCAAAGGGACACACGCGAAGAAAAAGUUUCACACCCAAAGAUCUGGGAUGUAA
RNAcentral lists this ribosomal RNA (777 nucleotides) under Triticum aestivum (bread wheat). RNAcentral's name for it is "partial small subunit ribosomal RNA". The record is from RNAcentral. Lineage: Eukaryota; Viridiplantae; Streptophyta; Magnoliopsida; Poales; Poaceae.